GACGAACGCUGGCGGCGUGCUUAACACAUGCGAGUCGAACGGAAAGACCCUGCUUUUGUGGGGUGCUCGAGUGGCGAACGGGUGAGUAACACGUGAGUAACCUGCCCUUGACUUUGGGAUAACUUCAGGAAACUGGGGCUAAUACCGGAUAGGAGCUCCUGCUGUAUGGUGGGGGUUGGAAAGUUUCGGCGGUUGGGGAUGGACUCGCGGCUUAUCAGCUUGUUGGUGGGGUAGUGGCUUACCAAGGCUUUGACGGGUAGCCGGCCUGGGAGGGGGACCGGCCACGUUGGGCCUGGGAUACGGCCCAGACUGCUACGGUAGGCAGCAGUGGGGAAUAUUGCACAAUGGGCGGAAGCCUGAUGCAGCAACGCCGCGUGCGGGAUGACGGCCUUCGGGUUGUAAACCGCUUUCGCCUGUGACGAAGCGUGAGUGACGGUAAUGGGUAAAGAAGCACCGGCUAACUACGUG
This 468-nucleotide ribosomal RNA is filed under the name uncultured bacterium. Its description in RNAcentral is "partial 16S ribosomal RNA". It matches the Rfam family "Bacterial small subunit ribosomal RNA", at positions 28 to 507 of the family's 1533-position model. The record is from RNAcentral.